This 617-nucleotide ribosomal RNA is filed under the name Escherichia coli. RNAcentral's name for it is "bacterial LSU rRNA". It matches the Rfam family "Bacterial large subunit ribosomal RNA", at positions 324 to 945 of the family's 2925-position model. The record is from RNAcentral. Lineage: Bacteria; Pseudomonadati; Pseudomonadota; Gammaproteobacteria; Enterobacterales; Enterobacteriaceae.
GUGUGUUAGUGGAAGCGUCUGGAAAGGCGCGCGAUACAGGGUGACAGCCCCGUACACAAAAAUGCACAUAUUGUGAGCUCGAUGAGUAGGGCGGGACACGUGGUAUCCUGUCUGAAUAUGGGGGGACCAUCCUCCAAGGCUAAAUACUCCUGACUGACCGAUAGUGAACCAGUACCGUGAGGGAAAGGCGAAAAGAACCCCGGCGAGGGGAGUGAAAAAGAACCUGAAACCGUGUACGUACAAGCAGUGGGAGCACGCUUAGGCGUGUGACUGCGUACCUUUUGUAUAAUGGGUCAGCGACUUAUAUUCUGUAGCAAGGUUAACCGAAUAGGGGAGCCGAAGGGAAACCGAGUCUUAACUGGGCGUUAAGUUGCAGGGUAUAGACCCGAAACCCGGUGAUCUAGCCAUGGGCAGGUUGAAGGUUGGGUAACACUAACUGGAGGACCGAACCGACUAAUGUUGAAAAAUUAGCGGAUGACUUGUGGCUGGGGGUGAAAGGCCAAUCAAACCGGGAGAUAGCUGGUUCUCCCCGAAAGCUAUUUAGGUAGCGCCUCGUGAAUUCAUCUCCGGGGGUAGAGCACUGUUUCGGCAAGGGGGUCAUCCCGACUUACCAACCC